ACGGGUGAGUAACACGUAUGCAAUCCACCUGUAACAGGGGGAUAACCCGGAGAAAUCCGGACUAAUACCCCAUAAUAUGGGCGCUCCGCAUGGAGAGUCCAUUAAAGAGAGCAAUCUUGGUUACAGACGAGCAUGCGCUCCAUUAGCCAGUUGGCGGGGUAACGGCCCACCAAGGCGACGAUGGAUAGGGGUUCUGAGAGGAAGGUCCCCCACAUUGGAACUGAGACACGGACCAA
Molecule: ribosomal RNA, 236 nt
Filed under: uncultured bacterium
Lineage: Bacteria
Description: partial 16S ribosomal RNA
Rfam family: Bacterial small subunit ribosomal RNA
Source: RNAcentral